UACGUAGGGACCGAGCGUUGUCCGGAAUCAUUGGGCGUAAAGAGCGUGUAGGCGGCCUUUUAAGUCCUGCGUGAAAUCCUGCGGCUCAACCGCAGACGGUCGUGGGAAACUGGAAGGCUAGAGUGCGGGAGAGGAGAGUGGAAUUCCCGGUGUAGCGGUGAAAUGCGCAGAUAUCAGGAGGAACACCAGCGGCGAAGGCGGCGCUCUGGGCCGGAACUGACGCUGAGGAGCGAAAGCGUGGGUAGCAAACAGG
Molecule: ribosomal RNA, 253 nt
Filed under: uncultured bacterium
Lineage: Bacteria
Description: partial 16S ribosomal RNA
Rfam family: Bacterial small subunit ribosomal RNA
Source: RNAcentral